AAAGUCUGUCAUAUCAUCCUGGGCAGGACCUAGGCCCUCACCCACAUGUCCAGGCUGAGAGACCACCCCUCCACAUGGAAGGGCUCCCAAAGUCCUUUCUUUCUUAUUUAUUUAUUUAUUUAUUUAUUUAUUUAUUUAUUUAUUUAUUUUUGGUUUUUCAAGACAGGGUUUCUCUGUGUAGCUUUGGAGCCUAUCCUGGCACUCUCUCUGGAGAACAGGCUGGCCUCGAACUUACAGAGACCCUCCUGCCUCUGCCUCCCGAGUGCUGGGAUUAAAGGCAUGUACCACCAACACCUGGCCCCAAAGUCCUAUCUUAAGCCAGGGAUAAACACUGACCUUCUGCCAGAGGUCCCAUAGAAUGCCGAGGCCUCCUCAUUUACAUCCACAAUUCAGGGGUCUGUAUAAGUUCUGUGCUGGCCUCCCUGACAUCAGUCUGGGGUCCACGCACUCCUCCUUGUUCAGGUUAGCUGUUUCUGUGGGUUUCACCAGCCUGGUCUUGACCUUGUUGCUCUUCACUCCUUCCUCUGUGCCUUUGGGUUCCAGAGUUAAGCAUGGUGUUUAGCUGUGGGUGUCUGCCUCUGCUUCCAUCAGCCACUGGAUGAGGGCUCUAGGAUGGCAUAAAAAGUAGUCAUCAGUCUCAUUAUAGGUGAAGGGCAUUUAGAGUAGCCUCUCCACUAUAGAUUAGAUUGUCAGUUGGUGUCAUCCUUGUAGAUCUCUGAAAAUCACCCUAGUGCCAGAUCUCUCCUCAAACAUAUAAAUGGCUCCCUCUGUUAUGGUAUCUUUCAUCCUGCUCUCCUCUAUUUUCCCCCGACUCAAUCUUUCUGCUCCUCCAUUUACUCCUCUCCCCUCUUCUUCUCCUCCUCUCAUUCUGCCAUCUCCCUUUCCCCUACCCUCUUGGUCCCAAUAAGUUCAGAAGAUCCAGCCCCUUCCCAUUCUGCGGGGUCCAUGCAUUCUUCUCUUAGAGUUCUCCUUGCUUCCAAGUUCCUUUGGUGAUGUGCAUUGUAGGUGCAUAAUCCUUACCUCUAUGUCUAAAAUUCAUAUAUGAACGAGUACAUACCAUGUUUGUCUGUUUUUGACUGGGUCACCUCACUCAGGAUGGUUUCUUCUAGUUCCAUCCACUUAUCUUAUCAGACACUUUAUUGGCGUCCCUCCUUGUCAGUGGAUCACAUCGUGGUGCUGGAGCAGGAGCCGAGGGGAAAAAGAGAAAACUUCCCAUUCUCCUCGCUCAAAUAUGAGUCUCCUUGCUAUGUCACUUCCUGCCUAGACCACCACUUCUCUACUACAUCUCCCAG
RNAcentral lists this long non-coding RNA (1292 nucleotides) under Cricetulus griseus (Chinese hamster). RNAcentral's name for it is "lncRNA (ENSCGRG00015029662.1)". The record is from RNAcentral. Lineage: Eukaryota; Metazoa; Chordata; Mammalia; Rodentia; Cricetidae.